UCUGUGUAUAAAGACACUGAGAUUUUAAGGCGAGCUCACGGUUUUUGACGAGAGAACAAGUACAGUAUCCAGCUUUACGAUGUCCGCAGCAAAUUCUGUAUUCAUCUUAAUCUUUGCAAUCACAAUCAUGACGAUAAAUAUGUCCUCAAGCACGGACAGCCGGAGCAGCAGUUCUUUUACGUGUCUAAGUCCCGGAAAGCCUUGCGAACAAGGUGACCCCAGUUCCUGCAACGGGACCUGCACUUGCGAACGACUCGGCAAUGAUGACGGCACAGCUUCGUACCAGUGCACGGAACCGCCUAUUGCGGUAUCAGGUUCCUCCGUUUAAUGGAAAUAAUGAGGCAAUAAAACUUGUCGCUCUUCAUAAAAA
Dermacentor albipictus is the source of this 370-nucleotide long non-coding RNA. RefSeq lists it as uncharacterized. The record is from RefSeq and is a predicted model, not a curated record. Lineage: Eukaryota; Metazoa; Arthropoda; Arachnida; Ixodida; Ixodidae.